GUGAGGAAUUUUCCGCAAUGGGCGAAAGCCUGACGGAGCAAUGCCGCGUGAAGGAUGAAGGCCUAUGGGUUGUAAACUUCUUUUCUUAGAGAAGAAUAUUGACGGUAUCUGAGGAAUAAGCAUCGGCUAACUCUGUGCCAGCAGCCGCGGUAAGACAAAGGAUGCAAGCGUUAUCCGGAAUGAUUGGGCGUAAAGCGUCUGUAGGUGGCUUCAAAAGUCUCCUGUCAAAGAUCAGGGCUUAACCCUGGGCCGGCAGGAGAAACUCUGAGGCUAGAGUUUGGUAGGGGCAGAGGGAAUGCCCGGUGGAGCGGUGAAAUGCGUAGAGAUCGGGAGGAACACCAAAGGCGAAAGCACUCUGCUGGGCCACAACUGACACUGAGAGACGAAAGCGAGGGGAGCAAAAGGGAUGAGAAACCCCAGUAGUCC
Molecule: ribosomal RNA, 426 nt
Filed under: uncultured bacterium
Lineage: Bacteria
Description: partial 16S ribosomal RNA
Rfam family: Bacterial small subunit ribosomal RNA
Source: RNAcentral